GUACUGAUGAAGAGUCCCAGUCUAGGACGAAACAGCUGUCCAGUAC
Molecule: non-coding RNA, 46 nt
Filed under: Trichobilharzia regenti
Lineage: Eukaryota; Metazoa; Platyhelminthes; Trematoda; Strigeidida; Schistosomatidae
Source: RNAcentral